Molecule: unclassified non-coding RNA, 181 nt
Filed under: uncultured Hygrophorus
Lineage: Eukaryota; Fungi; Basidiomycota; Agaricomycetes; Agaricales; Hygrophoraceae
Description: sequence contains ITS1
Source: RNAcentral
UUGAAUUUUGAGAGAGGUUGUAGCUGAUCAUUAAGAUAUGUGCACACCUCAUUUCCAAAUUUUACACCAUGUGCACUUUUUGUAGGCUGACUUCUGUUGGUCUAUGUCUUUUUAAACACACUCAAAAGUUUAGAAUGUUAAAACACAAGCUUUGCAUUUUUGCAAGCUUUUAAAAUUAAUA